RNAcentral lists this non-coding RNA (149 nucleotides) under Chlorocebus sabaeus (green monkey). The record is from Rfam by way of RNAcentral. Lineage: Eukaryota; Metazoa; Chordata; Mammalia; Primates; Cercopithecidae.
GCUGGGUGUGGUGGUGCACACCUGUAGUCCCAGCUACUGGGGAGGCUGAGGUGGGAGGAUCACCUGAGCCCAAGGAGGUCAAGGCUGCAGUGAGCUGUGAUCAUGCCACUGCACUCCAGCCUGGGCAACAGAGUGACACCCUGUCUCAA